Hypanus sabinus (Atlantic stingray) is the source of this 3158-nucleotide long non-coding RNA. RefSeq lists it as uncharacterized. The record is from RefSeq and is a predicted model, not a curated record. NCBI's taxonomy places the organism in Eukaryota, Metazoa, Chordata, Chondrichthyes, Myliobatiformes, Dasyatidae. The transcript has 4 exons.
CCCGGGCAAUGAUUAUGAUGAGAUUAUACUCCAAUAGCCAGCAAAGAUACAAGAACAGAAGGCAAUAGAAGCUGAUGCAAUAGCAAUAUUCAAGAGGGAUAUAGAUACAGACAUGAACAGACUACUCUAGGGUAGAGAAAGGCAUCUAGGAUUCCAAAUAUGUCGAUGCACCAUCAACAACUCUCGGAGAUGGGAGGCAAACGAUAGGCUUUUAUUAGCUGCAAGAGACCACCAGACAACAUCCUGGAGACUGAGGGAGGAGCAGUGCCUCCAACUGCCUUUAUACAGGGGCCUGUGGGAGAAGCCACAGGAGCAGUCAACAGAGGGGCAUAUCCAGACAGAUAUGGACAGCUCCUGGAAUUCUCUGCCCAGAAACUUUUGCAGCAAAUAUAGAGUAGGCAAUCACAAACUAUGUCUAUUAAUGGAAUAUAUACCCAAUAUUACGUAGGCCAUAUUUGUUAUAUUUCCUUCAUAUUCCUUUAUAAAAUUGAUUGUAGAUGCAAAAUUGAGUGAUCAAGUGUAUCCAAAAUUACAAUGGGAAUGGCAGAUGGAGCUUAAUUCAGAUAAAUGUGAGGUGUUGCAAUUUGGUAAGAGAAACUAGAGCAGGACUUUCACAGUAAUAAGUAGGGUCCCGGGGUGUGUUGUGCAACAAUGAGACCUAAGAGUGUAGCUACCUAUUUCCUUGAAAGUGGCAGUACAAGUGGACAGAUUGGCAGGGGAAAUGUUUGGCAUGCUUGUAUACAUUAGUCACGAAACAGAGUGCAUGAAUUGGAAUGUUAUGCAGAAGACAAUAGUAAAGUCCCAUUUGGAAUGCUAUGUAUACAGUAGUUCUGGUUGCACUCUUAUAGGAAGGACAUAAUUAAACUACAAGGGGUGCGUAAAUGAUUUAUGAAGAUAGUAUCAGGACUGGCUGACUCAAAUUAGAUAACAAGGCUGGAUAGGCUGGGGCAUAGGUGUGGUGAACUACAUAUACCUGUCUGGACAUGCCCCCCACCCCCCGCUGACUGCUCUGUGGCUGUUCCCACAGACCCCUGUAUAAAGGCGAUUGGAGGCACUGCUCCUCCCUCAGUCUCCAGGAUGUUGUGUGAUGGUCUCUUGCUGCUGACUGCUCUCUUCCAGCUAAUAAAAGCCUAUAUCUCACCUCACAUCUCCAAGAGUUAUUGAUGGUGCAUCAGUAGGAAACUAAGGUGUGACUUUAUGUUGAUUUAUAAAAUGAGAGGCAUACAUCAGGUGAAGAGCCUUGGUCUUUUCUGCAGGGCAAGGGAUUUAAAAACGAGAGCACAUAGGUUUAAAGUGAGUGGUGAAAGAUUUAAAAGGGAGCUGAGGAGUGGGUGUAAAACUGAGGGUUGAGUGUAUAUGGAAUGUGCUACUAGAGGAAUUGGUAGGGGAGGGUACAGGUACAACAUUUAAAAGAUAUUUGGACAGGUUCAUGGAUAGGUUGGUGGUGGGAUGGAGUCACACCUCUACCAAAAGAGGUGUAAAGGCACUCCUUCCCUCCGCUAGCUUACCGGUCACCCUUGGGCAAGGUGUAGCACCUGCUUAGCCCUCUGAUCGGGAACAUGUGAAGUCAUAGGAGCAGGUGGUGGAUGGUCAGAUGAGCAGUUGGUGCAUAUCACAAGUCCUGGUUACGUGACCACUGACGUCAGACAGAUAAUCUCUGAAAAGUAUUGAUAACGGCUGGGGCCACGAGUCUUAUUAAAGCACUGCCCAGAAGAAGACAAUAGCAAACCCUCUUCUGCAGAAAAAUUUGCCAAGAAUAGCCAUGGUCAUGGAAAGACUAUUAUCACCCAUAUCAUACAAGAUGUCACACAACAAGCAAAUGAACAUGGAUAGGAAAGGUUUAAAUACAGGACCAAAUUUGGGAAAAUGGAACUAACUCAUUUAAGUAAGGACCAUUUGGGCAAAAGGGCCUAUUUCAUGUGGAAUAAUCUAUUACCCCAAUGCCCUUUCCCAGGGCAGCAAUGGCCUUUACUAGAGGGCAUAUUUAUAAUAUGAUUUGAGGACUGUAUAGGGGGAAGUCAGAGAUAGUUUUUUUUUACACAGAGAGUGGUAAGUGAAUGGGAUGCAUUGCCAAGGGCGCUGGUGGAGAGAAACAGUAGGGACAUUCAGAUAGGCACAUGGAUGAAAGAGAAAUGGAAGACAUUGGGGAAGGGAAGAGUUAAAUGAAUCUUGGAGUAGGUUAAAAGGUCGGCACAGCAUUGUGGGUUGAAUAGCCUGUACUGUGUGGUAUUGUUCUAUGUUCUAUGAGUCUACGUAGAAAAUGUGUUGGAUGCCACUGGUCUGUUGACAAGUCAGAGUCCUGACCACAUAAGAAUUGAUGUCAAAUUCAUCUCUUUUUGAACCUGUCCUUGAUUUUGUUACAAUAUACAAUAAAAACUCUACCUUCUGUUGUCCCUGUUCAAUUAAAGAGUUCCCAGAUCUAAUAUGACUGAUCACAAUGCAAAGCUGAACUUUAGAACUGGCUCAGCUAUGAAGCAAGAUCUACUACUAUGUUGACUCAGGCCUAGGGGGCCGGCAUUGGGCAUGAUGAUGGACUCUCCACUCCUCCCUCUCCCUCAUCAGUGUGUUCAGUUCAUCUAUGUUAGCCACGCCACUGUCUUCUAGGAGUGUGUGUUGACCAUAGUCUUGGGAGGGCACCCAGUGUUUAUCCACCCAUACUUGGGCUCCCAUGUGAUGACUAGGCUGGCAGGUAGCUCAGGUGGCGUAGACAGUGCCCUGCUAGUUGCGGUCUUCUCGCAUCGGUGAGUCAUCAUAGAGUUCAACGUUCGUCAUGUGCUGUUGCAAACACAUGUCAAGAGCCAUCCGGAGCAUUUGUGUAUAGCAACCAUCUAGUGACUUUCACAUAGUCUUGGUGAGUGUCCACAUCUCACAUCUGUACGGGAGAAUGAACUCUAUGACUGCUAUGAAGAUCCUCCUUUUGAGCCCUCUAGUCAAGUUCUAUCUCCAGAUUUCCUUCAUGUCGUUCAUAGCCCUCCAUGCCAGUGCUUUCCAUAUCUUUAUGUCCUUCUCUGAACUCAUCAUUCUUGACCCGAGGUACUUGAAGUCUAAGACUUUCUUAAUGGUAUCAUUCUUUAAAGUCUUGAGAGUACCUUCCUAAGAAUGCUGGCUUCUUGCUAAAGCAAGCAAUUGUAAGAAGAACAAAUAGAAUUAUUAGGAAA